CCCUUAGAUGUUCUGGGCUGCACGCGUGCUACACUGAUUAUUUCAACAAGUGUUUUAACUGGAGAGUUUGCGUAAUCCUGAAAUGUUAUCGUGAUGGGAGUAGAGUAUUGUAUUUGUUAAUCUUUAACGAGGAAUUCCUAGUAAGUGUAGGUUUAUAAGUUGUUCUGAUUACGUCCCUGCCCUUUGUACACACCGCCCGUCGCUCCUACCGAUUGAUUGAUCCGGUGAAUUACAUAGAAUUUUGCGUUUUACAUGACGGAAGACGAAGUGUUUUAAACCUUAUCAUUUAGAGGAAGGAGAAGUCGUAACA
This 310-nucleotide ribosomal RNA is filed under the name uncultured eukaryote. RNAcentral describes it as "partial 18S ribosomal RNA". It matches the Rfam family "Eukaryotic small subunit ribosomal RNA", at positions 1470 to 1796 of the family's 1831-position model. The record is from RNAcentral.